This 468-nucleotide ribosomal RNA is filed under the name uncultured bacterium. Its description in RNAcentral is "partial 16S ribosomal RNA". It matches the Rfam family "Bacterial small subunit ribosomal RNA", at positions 28 to 507 of the family's 1533-position model. The record is from RNAcentral.
GACGAACGCUGGCGGCGUGCUUAACACAUGCAAGUCGAACGGAAAGGCCCUGCUUUUGUGGGGUGCUCGAGUGGCGAACGGGUGAGUAACACGUGAGUAACCUGCCCUUGACUUUGGGAUAACUUCAGGAAACUGGGGCUAAUACCGGAUAGGAGCUCCUGCUGCAUGGUGGGGGUUGGAAAGCUUCGGCGGUUGGGGAUGGGCUCGCGGCUUUUCAGCUUGUUGGUGGGGUAGUGGCUUACCAAGGCUUUGACGGGUAGCCGGCCUGGGAGGGUGACCGGCCACAUUGGGACUGAGAUACGGCCCAGAUGACUACGGGAGGCAGCAGUGGGGAAUAUUGCACACUGGGCGGAAGCCUGAUGCAGCAACGCCGCGUGCGGGAUGACGGCCUUCGGGUUGUAAACCGCUUUCGCCUGUGACGAAGCGUGAGUGACGGUAAUGGGUAAAGAAGCACCGGCUAACUCCGUG